RNAcentral lists this ribosomal RNA (426 nucleotides) under uncultured bacterium. Its description in RNAcentral is "partial 16S ribosomal RNA". It matches the Rfam family "Bacterial small subunit ribosomal RNA", at positions 354 to 796 of the family's 1533-position model. The record is from RNAcentral.
GUGAGGAAUUUUCCGCAAUGGGCGAAAGCCUGACGGAGCAAUGCCGCGUGAAGGAUGAAGGCCUAUGGGUUGUAAACUUCUUUUCUUAGAGAAGAAUAUUGACGGUAUCUGAGGAAUAAGCAUCGGCUAACUCUGUGCCAGCAGCCGCGGUAAGACAGAGGAUGCAAGCGUUAUCCGGAAUGAUUGGGCGUAAAGCGUCUGUAGGUGGCUUCAAAAGUCUCCUGUGAAAGAUCAGGGCUUAACCCUGGGCAGGCAGGAGAAACUCAGAGGCUAGAGUUUGGUAGGGGCAGAGGGAAUUCCCGGUGGAGCGGUGAAAUGCGUAGAGAUCGGGAGGAACACCAAAGGCGAAAGCACUCUGCUGGGCCACAACUGACACUGAGAGACGAAAGCGAGGGGAGCAAAAGGGAUUAGAUACCCGGGUAGUCC